CCUACGGGAGGCAGCAGUGGGGAAUUUUGGACAAUGGGCGAAAGCCUGAUCCAGCAAUGCCGCGUGCAGGAAGAAGGCCUUCGGGUUGUAAACUGCUUUUGUACGGAACGAAAAGGUCUGCCCUAAUACGGCGGGCUCAUGACGGUACCGUAAGAAUAAGCACCGGCUAACUACGUGCCAGCAGCCGCGGUAAUACGUAGGGUGCGAGCGUUAAUCGGAAUUACUGGGCGUAAAGCGUGCGCAGGCGGUGAUGUAAGACAGUUGUGAAAUCCCCGGGCUCAACCUGGGAAUUGCAUCUGUGACUGCAUCGCUAGAGUACGGUAGAGGGGGAUGGAAUUCCGCGUGUAGCAGUGAAAUGCGUAGAUAUGCGGAGGAACACCGAUGGCGAAGGCAAUCCCCUGGACCUGUACUGACGCUCAUGCACGAAAGCGUGGGGAGCAAACAGGAUUAGAUACCCUGGUAG
RNAcentral lists this ribosomal RNA (463 nucleotides) under uncultured bacterium. RNAcentral describes it as "bacterial SSU rRNA". It matches the Rfam family "Bacterial small subunit ribosomal RNA", at positions 338 to 793 of the family's 1533-position model. The record is from RNAcentral.